GAUGAACGCUGGCGGCGUGCCUAAUACAUGCAAGUCGAGCGAACAGAUAAGGAGCUUGCUCCUGUGACGUUAGCGGCGGACGGGUGAGUAACACGUGGGUAACCUACCUAUAAGACUGGGAUAACUUCGGGAAACCGGAGCUAAUACCGGAUAACAUUUGGAACCGCAUGGUUCUAAAGUGAAAGAUGGGUUUGCUAUCACUUAUAGAUGGACCCGCGCCGUAUUAGCUAGUUGGUAAGGUAACGGCUUACCAAGGCAACGAUACGUAGCCGACCUGGGAGAGGGAUCGCCCGCACGGGAAGGGAGACACGCACCAGACUCCUACGGGAGGGAGCAGUCGGCAAUCUUCCGCAAUGGGCGAAAGCCUGACGGAGCAACGCCGCGUGAGUGAUGAAGGGUUUCGGCUCGUAAAACUCUGUUAUUAGGGAAGAACAAAUGUGUAAGUGGAUGUGCACGUCUUGACGGUACCUGAUCAGAAAGCCACGGCUAACUACGUG
This 497-nucleotide ribosomal RNA is filed under the name uncultured bacterium. RNAcentral describes it as "partial 16S ribosomal RNA". It matches the Rfam family "Bacterial small subunit ribosomal RNA", at positions 28 to 507 of the family's 1533-position model. The record is from RNAcentral.